GACGAACGCUGGCGGCGUGCUUAACACAUGCAAGUCGAACGGAAAGGCCCUGCUUUUGUGGGGUGCUCGAGUGGCGAACGGGUGAGUAACACGUGAGUAACCUGCCCUUGACUUUGGGAUAACUUCAGGAAACUGGGGCUAAUACCGGAUAGGAGCUCCUGCUGCAUGGUGGGGGUUGGAAAGUUUCGGCGGUUGGGGAUGGACUCGCGGCUUAUCAGCUUGUUGGUGGGGUAGUGGCUUACCAAGGCUUUGACGGGUAGCCGGCCUGAGAGGGUGACCGGCCACAUGGGGACUGAGAUACGGCCCAGACUCCUACGGGAGGCAGCAGUGGGGAAUAUUGCACAAUGGGCGGAAGCCUGAUGCAGCAACGCCGCGUGCGGGAUGACGGCCUUCGGGUUGUAAACCGCUGUCGCCUGUGACGAAGCGUGAGUGACGGUAAUGGGUAAAGAAGCACCGGCUAACUACGUG
Molecule: ribosomal RNA, 468 nt
Filed under: uncultured bacterium
Lineage: Bacteria
Description: partial 16S ribosomal RNA
Rfam family: Bacterial small subunit ribosomal RNA
Source: RNAcentral